AGUGAACGCUGGCGGUAGGCCUAACACAUGCAAGUCGAACGGCAGCACAGUAAGAGCUUGCUCUUACGGGUGGCGAGUGGCGGACGAGUGAGGAAUACAUCGGAAUCUACUUUUUCGUGGGGGAUAACGUAGGGAAACUUACGCUAAUACCGCAUACGACCUACGGGUGAAAGCAGGGGAUCUUCGGACCUUGCGCGAUUGAAUGAGCCGAUGUCGGAUUAGCUAGUUGGCGGGGUAAAGGCCCACCAAGGCGACGAUCCGUAGCUGGUCUGAGAGGAGGAUCAGCCACACUGGAACUGAGACACGGUCCAGACUCCUACGGGAGGCAGCAGUGGGGAAUAUUGGACAAUGGGCGCAAGCCUGAUCCAGCCAUACCGCGUGGGUGAAGAAGGCCUUCGGGUUGUAAAGCCCUUUUGUUGGGAAAGAAAAGCAGCAGGUUAAUACCCCGCUGUUCUGACGGUACCCAAAGAAUAAGCACCGGCUAACUUCGUG
Molecule: ribosomal RNA, 492 nt
Filed under: uncultured bacterium
Lineage: Bacteria
Description: partial 16S ribosomal RNA
Rfam family: Bacterial small subunit ribosomal RNA
Source: RNAcentral